UUUAUUCACUAGGGGAGCCGGCACCGGCUGAGAGAAGCAAUGUUUCGACCCUUUGAACCUGAUCUGGAUUAUACCAGCGUAGGGAAGUGGAGCUUGUUUUAA
Molecule: non-coding RNA, 102 nt
Filed under: Geomicrobium sp. JCM 19039
Lineage: Bacteria; Bacillati; Bacillota; Bacilli; Caryophanales
Also listed under: 1 other name
Description: TPP riboswitch aptamer (THI element)
Rfam family: TPP riboswitch aptamer (THI element)
About the family: Vitamin B(1) in its active form thiamin pyrophosphate (TPP) is an essential coenzyme that is synthesised by coupling of pyrimidine and thiazole moieties in bacteria.
Source: Rfam by way of RNAcentral